RNAcentral lists this ribosomal RNA (503 nucleotides) under uncultured bacterium. RNAcentral's name for it is "bacterial SSU rRNA". It matches the Rfam family "Bacterial small subunit ribosomal RNA", at positions 29 to 524 of the family's 1533-position model. The record is from RNAcentral.
AUUGAACGCUGGCGGCAUGCUUUACACAUGCAAGUCGAGCGGCAGCGCGGGGGCAACCCUGGCGGCGAGCGGCGAACGGGUGAGGAAUACAUCGGAACGUACCCCGGAGUGGGGGAUAACGCCGCGAAAGCGGCGCUAAUACCGCAUAUGCUCUGAGGAGGAAAGUGGGGGGACCUGCAAGGGCCUCACGCUCUGGGAGCGGCCGAUGUCCGAUUAGCUAGUUGGUGGGGUAAAGGCCCACCAAGGCGACGAUCGGUAGCUGGUCUGAGAGGAUGAUCAGCCACACUGGGACUGAGACACGGCCCAGACUCCUACGGGAGGCAGCAGUGGGGAAUUUUGGACAAUGGGCGCAAGCCUGAUCCAGCCAUGCCGCGUGCGGGAAGAAGGCCUGGUGUAACGCUUGUCAGGGAAGAAACGACUCCGAGCCAACUAACCUCGGAGGUAAAUGACGGUACCUGAAGAAUAAGACACCGGCUAACUACGUAGCCAGCAGCCGCGGUAAU